CCUACGGGUGGCAGCAGUGAGGAAUAUUGGUCAAUGGCCGGAAGUCUGAACCAGCCAAGCCGCGUGAAGGACGAAGGUGCCAAGCAUUGUAAACUUCUUUUGUCAAGGGACAAAUUCCGGCUCGUGAGCCUGACCGAGGGUACUUUACGAAAAAGCAUCGGCUAACUCCGUGCCAGCAGCCGCGGUAAUACGGAGGAUUCGAGCGUUAUCCGGAUUUAUUGGGUUUAAAGGGUGCGUAGGCGGACUGUUAAGUCAGCGGUAAAAGCCCGGGGCUCAACCCCGGCGAGCCGUUGAGACUGGCGGGCUUGAGAGGUCGAGAGGUAGGCGGAAUGCGCGGUGUAGCGGUGAAAUGCUUAGAUAUUGCGCAGAACUCCGAUUGCGAAGGCAGCAUACCGGAGGAGAUCUGACGCUGAGGCACGAAAGCGUGGGUAUCGAACAGGAUUAGAUACCCCUGUAGUC
RNAcentral lists this ribosomal RNA (459 nucleotides) under uncultured bacterium. Its description in RNAcentral is "partial 16S ribosomal RNA". It matches the Rfam family "Bacterial small subunit ribosomal RNA", at positions 338 to 795 of the family's 1533-position model. The record is from RNAcentral.